ACGCUCGACACCUACUGGAGGCAGCAGUGGGGAAUAUUGCACAAUGGGGGAAACCCUGAUGCAGCGACGCCGCGUGGAGGAAGAAGGUCUUCGGAUUGUAAACUCCUGUUGUUGGGGAAAAAGAGGAUGGUACCCAACAAGGAAGUGACGGCUAACUACGUUCCAGCAGCCGCGGUAAUCUGAGCGGGCUGGCAAGGC
Molecule: ribosomal RNA, 198 nt
Filed under: uncultured bacterium
Lineage: Bacteria
Description: partial 16S ribosomal RNA
Rfam family: Bacterial small subunit ribosomal RNA
Source: RNAcentral